RNAcentral lists this ribosomal RNA (358 nucleotides) under Dikerogammarus haemobaphes. Its description in RNAcentral is "partial 16S ribosomal RNA". It matches the Rfam family "Bacterial large subunit ribosomal RNA", at positions 1922 to 2534 of the family's 2925-position model. Lineage: Eukaryota; Metazoa; Arthropoda; Malacostraca; Amphipoda; Gammaridae. The record is from RNAcentral.
UUUUAACGGCUGCGGUAUUUUGACCGUGCUAAGGUAGCAUAAUCAAUUGUUUUUUAAUUGAAAACUAGUAUGAACGGUUUAAUUUACUUAAUUAGUUUGUAAUUUUUAAUAGUAAGUUAAAUAUAAAGUAAGAAUUCUUUAAUAAAUUAGGGGACGAUAAGACCCUAAAAGCUUUAUGAUUGGCAUUUAAUUAGUGAUAGCGGUGUUAUUAAUUCACUGGGGCAGUGAGUUUAGGUAUAUUUAAGUAUAAUUAAAAGCUCCUUUAAAUAAAGAUUUCAUGUAUAAGUUACUUUAGGGAUAACAGUGCAAUAUAUUUGGGGAGACCAUAUCUAUAAAUAUGAUUGCAACCUCGAUGUUG